Molecule: transfer RNA, 69 nt
Filed under: Solemya elarraichensis
Lineage: Eukaryota; Metazoa; Mollusca; Bivalvia; Solemyida; Solemyidae
Description: tRNA-Pro
Source: RNAcentral
CAAGCGGUAAUUUAAAUUAAAAUGAAGGCGUUGGGAGCCUUUAAUCUUCUAUCUAUGGAAGUUGCUUGA